AAACGUUGGGAACUAGGUGUUGGGGACAUUCCACGUCGUCGGUGCCGCAGCUAACGCAUUAAGUUCCCCGCCUGGGGAGUACGGCCGCAAGGCUAAAACUCAAAGGAAUUGACGGGGGCCCGCACAAGCAGCGGAGCAUGUGGCUUAAUUUGACGCAACGCGAAGAACCUUACCAAAGGCUUGAACAUAACAC
This 193-nucleotide ribosomal RNA is filed under the name Streptomyces sp. RNAcentral's name for it is "partial 16S ribosomal RNA". It matches the Rfam family "Bacterial small subunit ribosomal RNA", at positions 804 to 993 of the family's 1533-position model. The record is from RNAcentral. Lineage: Bacteria; Bacillati; Actinomycetota; Actinomycetes; Kitasatosporales; Streptomycetaceae.